GAGUUUGAUCGUGGCUCAGGACGAACGCUGGCGGCGUGCCUAAUACAUGCAAGUCGAGCGGAUCUUCAUUAGCUUGCUUUUGAAGAUCAGCGGCGGACGGGUGAGUAACACGUGGGCAACCUGCCUGUAAGACUGGGAUAACUUCGGGAAACCGGAGCUAAUACCGGAUAAUCCUUUUCCUCUCAUGAGGAAAAGCUGAAAGACGGUUUCGGCUGUCACUUACAGAUGGGCCCGCGGCGCAUUAGCUAGUUGGUGAGGUAACGGCUCACCAAGGCGACGAUGCGUAGCCGACCUGAGAGGGUGAUCGGCCACACUGGGACUGAGACACGGCCCUGACUCCUACGGGAGGCAGCAGUAGGGAAUCUUCCGCAAUGGACGAAAGUCUGACGGAGCAACGCCGCGUGAGCGAUGAAGGCCUCGGUCGUAAGACGUCUGUU
RNAcentral lists this ribosomal RNA (437 nucleotides) under uncultured microorganism. RNAcentral's name for it is "bacterial SSU rRNA". It matches the Rfam family "Bacterial small subunit ribosomal RNA", at positions 9 to 437 of the family's 1533-position model. The record is from RNAcentral.